AUUGAACGCUGGCGGCAGGCCUAACACAUGCAAGUCGAACGAGUGGCGGACGGGUGAGUAAUGUCUGGGAAACUGCCCGAUGGAGGGGGAUAACUACUGGAAACGGUAGCUAAUACCGCAUACCAUCGGAUGUGCCCAUAUGGGAUUAGCUAGUAGGUGGGGUAAGGGCUCACCUAGGCAACGAUCCCUAGCUGGUCUGAGAGGAUGACCAGCAAAACUGGAACUGCGACACGGUCAAGACUCCUACGGGAGGCAGCAGGGGGGAAUAUUGCACAAUGGGCGCAAGCCUGAUGCCGCCUUGCCGCGUGGAUGAAGCAGGCCUUCGGGUUGUAAAGUACUUUCAGCGAGGAGGCGUUACUCGCAGAAGAAGCACCGGCUAACUCCGUGCCAGCCGCCGCGGGAAUUC
This 406-nucleotide ribosomal RNA is filed under the name uncultured bacterium. Its description in RNAcentral is "partial 16S ribosomal RNA". It matches the Rfam family "Bacterial small subunit ribosomal RNA", at positions 30 to 526 of the family's 1533-position model. The record is from RNAcentral.